Molecule: ribosomal RNA, 406 nt
Filed under: uncultured bacterium
Lineage: Bacteria
Description: partial 16S ribosomal RNA
Rfam family: Bacterial small subunit ribosomal RNA
Source: RNAcentral
AUUGAACGCUGGCGGCAGGCCUAACACAUGCAAGUCGAACGGAGCGGCGGACGGGUGAGUAAUGACUAGGAAUCUGCCUGGUAGUGGGGGAUAACGUCCGGAAACGGGCGCUAAUACCGCAUACUAUCAGAUGAGCCUAGGUCGGCUUAGCUAGUAGGUGGGGUAACGGAUAACCUAGGCGACGAUCCCUAGCUGGUCUGAGAGGAUGACCAGCCCCUCUGGAACUGAGACACGGUCCAGACUCCGACGGGAGGCAGCAGUGGGUAAUAUUGCACGAGGGGCGCAAGCCUGAUGCAGCCAUGCCGCGUGUAUGAAGAAGGCCUUCGGGUUGUAAAGUACUUUCAGCGGGGAGGCGUUACCCGCAGAAGAAGCACCGGCUAACGCCGUGCCAGCAGCCGCGGUAUUC